Molecule: small nucleolar RNA, 84 nt
Filed under: Chinchilla lanigera (long-tailed chinchilla)
Lineage: Eukaryota; Metazoa; Chordata; Mammalia; Rodentia; Chinchillidae
Description: Small nucleolar RNA SNORA26 (ENSCLAG00000019809.1)
Rfam family: Small nucleolar RNA SNORA26
About the family: The snoRNA HBI-6 belong to the H/ACA family of snoRNAs, guiding the pseudouridylation of position U4522 if the 28S rRNA. HBI-6 is the human orthologue of mouse MBI-6 snoRNA.
Source: Rfam by way of RNAcentral
AUGCCCUUUUAAGGUUGACACAGUGUCGUAAGAGGCUAGCACAGAAAGAGAAAGGAAGCCUUUGUAAAACCCGGAGGUGUAGCU